Molecule: ribosomal RNA, 170 nt
Filed under: Staphylococcus epidermidis
Lineage: Bacteria; Bacillati; Bacillota; Bacilli; Caryophanales; Staphylococcaceae
Description: partial 23S ribosomal RNA
Rfam family: Bacterial large subunit ribosomal RNA
Source: RNAcentral
GAUUAAGUUAUUAAGGGCGCACGGUGGAUGCCUUGGCACUAGAAGCCGAUGAAGGACGUUACUAACGACGAUAUGCUUUGGGUAGCUGUAAGUAAGCGUUGAUCCAGAGAUUUCCGAAUGGGGGAACCCAGCAUGAGUUAUGUCAUGUUAUCGACAUGUGAAUUUAUCGA